Molecule: non-coding RNA, 96 nt
Organism: Guyanagaster necrorhizus
Lineage: Eukaryota; Fungi; Basidiomycota; Agaricomycetes; Agaricales; Physalacriaceae
Source: the annotation of a RefSeq genome assembly
UCUUUGGUAGUGUAUUGGUUAAUACACAUGCAUGUCAUAGAAUUUAUAUCACAUUGAGUGCUGCGUAAAAGCUGGGUUCAACUCCCAGCCAGAGAU